GGAUUAACUCAGUAGAGACGGCUAAGCAUGUAGUACCGACAGCGGAGUACUGGCGGACGGGGGUUCAAAUCCCCCCGGCUCCACCA
This 86-nucleotide transfer RNA is filed under the name Pseudomonas sp. BP8. RNAcentral describes it as "tRNA-OTHER". It matches the Rfam family "transfer-messenger RNA", at positions 287 to 374 of the family's 374-position model. Rfam says of the family: Bacterial tmRNA, also known as 10Sa RNA or SsrA, is named for its dual tRNA and mRNA-like properties. Its role is to liberate the mRNA from a stalled ribosome. To accomplish this part of the tmRNA is used as a reading frame that ends in a translation stop signal. Lineage: Bacteria; Pseudomonadati; Pseudomonadota; Gammaproteobacteria; Pseudomonadales; Pseudomonadaceae. The record is from RNAcentral.